This is a non-coding RNA of Acanthosepion pharaonis, 100 nucleotides long. NCBI's taxonomy places the organism in Eukaryota, Metazoa, Mollusca, Cephalopoda, Sepiida, Sepiidae. The record is from the annotation of a GenBank genome assembly.
AUUGAAACAUCGAUUCCCAUACGAUCACCAAAGUUAAGCAAUGUUGAGCUUGCUCAGUACCUAGAUGGGUGACUACUUGGGAAUACCAGAUGCUGCAAGC